AGAGGACGGCGACGGCGAGGCGAGAGGCCAGCGACGGCGAGCACAGCGAAGGCGGCGGCGGCGAGAGUGGCAAGAAGCACGAAUGGGCGCUGAGGGGCAGAGAGGAGAGGAAAGGGUGGCUGAAAAUUAAAAGAGAGAUGAAAAGAAGAUUAGGUUUUUUGCUUUUAUAUUGUUUGCUUUUUCUGACGGAUUAGCGACGGAAUAAAUUCCGUCGCUAAUAUUUUAAAAAUCCGUCGCUAAUCCGUCGCUAAUCGGUCAGAAAAUUAGACAUAAGGUAUUCGUCGCUGAUCCGUCGCUAAUUCCGUCGCUAAAUUUUUUUUUUCCGACGGAAGUUACUUCCGUCGCUAAAUCCGUCACUGAUACCUUGUUUUUUUGUAGUG
RNAcentral lists this long non-coding RNA (380 nucleotides) under Manihot esculenta (cassava). RNAcentral describes it as "long non-coding RNA (MESC_LNC001769)". The record is from RNAcentral. Lineage: Eukaryota; Viridiplantae; Streptophyta; Magnoliopsida; Malpighiales; Euphorbiaceae.